GAUGAACGCUAGCUACAGGCUUAACACAUGCAAGUCGAGGGGUAACGAGAGGAAAGCUUGCUUUCCUUGUCGACGACCGGCGCACGGGUGAGUAACGCGUAUCCAACCUGCCCCCAACUAGGGAAUAACCUUGCGAAAGUAAGACUAAUACCCUAUAAUUUCCUCAGAUGACAUCUGACGAGGAAUAAAGAUUUAUCGGUUGUGGAUGGGGAUGCGUCUGAUUAGCUUGUUGUCGGGGUAACGGCCCACCAAGGCAACGAUCAGUGGGGGUUCUGAGAGGAAGGUCCCCCACAUUGGAACUGAGACACGGUCCAAACUCCUACGGGAGGCAGCAGUGAGGAAUAUUGGUCAAUGGGCGGAAGCCUGAACCAGCCAAGUAGCGUGCAGGAUGACGGCCCUAUGGGUUGUAAACUGCUUUUAUACAGGAAUAAAGUUAGCCACGUGUGGUUAUUUGUAGGUACUGUAUGAAUAAGGACCGGCUAAUUCCGUGCCAGCCGCCGCCGUAA
This 506-nucleotide ribosomal RNA is filed under the name uncultured bacterium. RNAcentral's name for it is "partial 16S ribosomal RNA". It matches the Rfam family "Bacterial small subunit ribosomal RNA", at positions 28 to 523 of the family's 1533-position model. The record is from RNAcentral.